AUAAUUGGAAUGAGUACAAUUUAAAUCCCUUAACGAGGAUCAAUUGGAGGGCAAGUCUGGUGCCAGCAGCCGCGGUAAUUCCAGCUCCAAUAGCGUAUAUUAAAGUUGUUGCCGUUAAAAAGCUCGUAGUCGAACUUCGGCUUCUGCCGCCCGGUCCGCCUUUUUGGGUGUGUACUGGAGCGGUGGAGGCUUACCUCGUGGUGAGCAAUCAUACCCUUCACUGGGCGUGGUUGGGAACCAUGAUUUUUACUUUGAAAAAAUUAGAGUGUUCAAAGCAGGCUUACGCCCGAAUACAUUAGCAUGGAAUAAUAAAAUAGGACGUGCGGUUCUAUUUUGUUGGUUUCUAGGAUCGCCGUAAUGAUUAAUAGGGAUAGUUGGGGGCAUUCGUAUUCAAUUGCUAGAGGUGAAAUUCUUGGAUUUAUUGAAGACGAACUACUGCGAAAGCAUUUGCCAAGGAUGUUUUCAUUGAUCAAGAACGAAGGUUAGGGGAUCGAAAACGAUCAGAUACCGUUGUAGUCUUAACAGUAAACGAUGCCGACUAGGGAUCGGACGAGGAUUUUUAAUGACUCGUUCGGCACCUGAAGAGAAAUCUUUAAGUCUAGGUUCGGGGGGGAGUAUGGUCGCAAGGCUGAAACUUAAAGGAAUUGACGGAAGGGCACCACCAGGUGUGGAGCCUGCGGCUUAAUUUGACUCAACACGGGGAAACUCACCAGGUCCAGACACGACAAGGAUUGACAGAUUGAUAGCUCUUUCUUGAUUUCGUGGUUGGUGGUGCAUGGCCGUUCUUAGUUGGUGGAGUGAUUUGUCUGGUUAAUUCCGAUAACGAACGAGACCUUAACCUGCUAAAUAGCCCGUCCGGCUUUGGCUGGUCGCUGGCUUCUUAGAGGGACUAUC
RNAcentral lists this ribosomal RNA (894 nucleotides) under uncultured Cyphobasidiales. RNAcentral describes it as "SSU rRNA". It matches the Rfam family "Eukaryotic small subunit ribosomal RNA", at positions 505 to 1424 of the family's 1831-position model. The record is from RNAcentral. Lineage: Eukaryota; Fungi; Basidiomycota; Cystobasidiomycetes; Cyphobasidiales.